Molecule: long non-coding RNA, 1153 nt
Organism: Lemur catta (Ring-tailed lemur)
Lineage: Eukaryota; Metazoa; Chordata; Mammalia; Primates; Lemuridae
Exons: 5
Source: RefSeq, a predicted model, not a curated record
AGAGAAAAUCAAUUUUCUGCCUUAUAAGUGCAUAACGUCCCCCUUUUGUCCAUCUUCUGCAAUGGGCAACACAUCGUAGUUGGUUGAAUAACGUUCCCCAUACAUUUAUGUCUACCCAGAACCUUAUUUGGAAAUAGCAAUGUAAUUUUUCUUUGCAGAUGUGAUUAAUUAUAAUUAGUCAAGGAUCUCAAGAUGAAAUCAUCGUAGAUUUAGGGCAGGUUCUAAAUCUGAUGACUAGUGUCCUUAUCAAAGAGGAGAGGACACAAAACAACACACAGGGAAGACCACUGAAGACGGAGGCAGAGAUUAGAGUGAUGCUGCCACAAGCCAAGGAACGCCAGGAGCGUCCAGGAGCAGGAAGAGGCAAGGAAGGGUCCAACCCUGGAGCCUUCAGCGGAAGCAUGGCCCUGCUGACACCUUGACUUUGGACUUUUGGCCUCCAAAACUCAGUCCAUUACAUCUUCCUCGAAGCGAAGUGACCUGGAAUUGUUCGAGUGUGAUCCUCCCUAAAGGCAGAGGGAUGGAAUGAAUAAUUUAUUAAGAAAACAAUUCCGUUUUCCCUGAAGUGGUAAGACCUCUACCUGGGAAGAUCUGGGGGUGAAAAAUCUGCUCCGGCUUGGACUGCUGACUUCUAAAUCAACUUCUCCAGCUCUGACACCUAAGCCAGACCUGCUCCCACUUUCCGCUCUGACCAUCUUCAGUCCGUUUCCAGGCCUGUCUGCUAAAAAUUAUGGAAAAAUAUGGCCCCGGAUUCCACUGUGUUCUGCCAGAUCAUCAACUGUCUGAGGAGGAUUUGUCACCUUCUAACAUACUGCUGUGCUCUGAAUGCUAUGACCUGAAUUCAUAUAUGGAAACCCAACACUGAAGGCAGGGUGUUAAGAGGUAGUUCGGAAGUGAUUAGGUGUUAUGAGAGGGGAGUCCUCAUGAAUGGGAUUAGCAUCCUUAUAAAAGAGGCCUGAGGGGGCUUGGUUGCCCCUUCCGCCAUGCAAGGAUGCAGCGAGAAGUCAGCAACUGCAACUCAGAAACUGCCCUCACCAGAACCUGGCCAUGCUGGCACCCUGAUAUUGGACUUCCCAGGCCCCAGAACUGUGACAAAUAAAUAUCUAUUGUCUAUAUGCCACCAAGUCUAUGGUAUUUUCUUAUAGCAGCCCAA